GCAGCAUAUGGAAGUUCCCAUGCUAGGUGUCGAAUUAGAGCUGUAGCUGCCAGCCUACACCACAGCCAGUGCAGUGCAGGAUCCAAGUCACAUCUGUGAUCUACACUACAGUUCAUGGCAAUGGCAGAUCCUUAACCCAAUGAGUGAGGCCAGGGAUUAAACCCUAAGGCAGCUACCAAGUGGACACCAAUUUAACUUAUAUAUUUCUAGGAGAUGAAUUAAUAAGUUCCAGGAAGGGCUUCUACCUAGGGGACUAAUGCUAAGAACUGCUAAGCCCUUUGGGAGCCUUUCCAAUACCCCUCAAAUAGUGGCAUUAAGAGCAUUCAUUUGAGCAGACUAAAAAAUCAUUAAUCCCAGAGUUGUCAUAAUAUGGAUUGUCUGAGGUUGGACUGAGUGAGAUAUUUUUGUAUGCAAAGAGAAGAUGAAAAAAAUGACUUCUAAAUUUCCACUCAAUCCUGAAAUGCAAUUCGGUUACUUAAAUAGUUAUUUUACUGAGUAUAAAAUUGAGUCAGGAAAAUGAAGAUUUUCUUUAGAGUCUUGUUUAUGCCUAUUGACUUGGUGAAACUAAUAAUAGCUUACCCUUUGACUUAAAAAGUGUACAUCAUCACCAGAGAAUACUAAUUCCUUUUGAAAGUGAUAUGUUUCCAGAAGUCUGUCAACCAUCUUCAUGGAGACUAACAAGCUGGAUUCCAUACCUGGAAAGAAUAAUCUCUUUGGUUUUCCUACUAAAGUAUCAUCCAUUGUUUCUCUCAGUUAAAACCCUAAAUCUGCCAGGUUGAUGUGCUGUAUACAUUCUACAUAGGUAAGAGUAAGAGAUUAAGAGAAUCAUUUCUAAAACCAAAGGAUUUAAGCAUUUAUCUGAACACUGGUUGUUAAAAAUUAUAAUUGGGGAAUCGUACCUAAAUUCAAUCCCUUACCUUCUAGUCCCACAGUUACUACCCUUCAUUAGAACUUCAUUUCUUCUUGCUGAAUUGUAAUUAAAAUGUUUAAACGCUAAUUCUCAUCCAGGUCUUAGCCAACAAUCAUAGUUUGACUGAAGAUUUAGAAAACAGACUUGCCAAAUGUGCAGAUGACCAGAAGUUAUGAUUAAAAUAUAAUUUGUUGGAUAAGAGGAUAAAGAGUCUUUAAGUUCUUAAUGGGCUGAAACAAAAGCCCAAGAAAUGAAAAAUACGGUUUAAUAUAGAUAAAUUGAAAGUCCUACUUUUAGCUUAAAAUGAAACAAACAAACAAAAAGGAUAUAUGAGGAAGGACAGGUGUAAAAUUGUUCACAUAAAGAAACCUGGGGAAUUAUUUGGGAUGGUGUGAUCCAAUAGCAUGCUAAUGCUACUAAGAAAGUAUAAUAUUUAGACUGAAAUAAAAUAGAAUGUCCAUACCAGUGAACAACAGAGCCUCAUGAUUUUCUGUGUUGUUAGGACUGCAUGUGGUACUGUGUUCAGUUCUACAAUGAAAGGUAAAAUAGAGCAAAGUCUAUUCAGAAAAAAUGAAGACACAACAAAUAACUGGGCAAACAAGAAAUGUUAGGGAAAUAAAAUAACACUGCAAUAAUAACAACAACACUAUAAUACUGCAAAAGUGAUAAAGUAGCACAUUCUAUGUUCUGGAGUGUGCUGGAGACCCUAAACAAGUUGUCUGCUUUGACUCUGCAUAAAUCCUAGGAGGUAAUACUAUUAGCUCCUUUUUUCAGAUGAAGAAUCUGAUGCUCAAAGAAAGUAAGGUGUCUAAGAUUACUUUACACUAAAUAUUUGAAGAUAUCUGUGUAAAACAGUGAAAGACUUGUUCUUUCCAAAGGGAAAUGAAUGGAAGCUACAACUUGAUACAAAUGAAAAGUCCUAAUUUCAUAACUGCAUUAGAAUGGAAUUGUCUGCCUGCCUACUAGCAAGUUCUUAUGAUCAAGCUGAAACAAACUGUAAGGACAGAAUUAUCAGGGAAAAAAGCAUUCCUGUCAUGGCUAAGUGGGGUAGGUAACCUCCAGGUUCCCUUCCAAUAUUAAAGUCUAUGAUUCUGAUUCUGAGAAAUGGAGUAUUUUUUGCCUUGGCAUUGUACACUCUUUAGGUCAAAUCAAAUUAAAUCAAAUUGAAAGAUUCAUUCAAAUCAGCUGUUAUGAUGAACUUAGGUCUCUUCAAUUAAAAUAGCUGUUCCAGUUAAUCUCUGUAAACAUAUCUGUUAAUCUAUUUCUGUGAUUGAUCACAUUUCACCUGUGUUUUCUUCUUUUUUUCUUUCACAGCUGCAUGCGCAGCAUAUGAAGUUCUCAGGCUAGUGGUCAAAUCAGAGCUGUAGCUGAGGCCUACGCCACAGCCAUGGCUACACUGGGUCCAAGCCGCAUCUACAAUCUACAUGGCAGCAUGCAGGAACACCAGAUCCUUAACUCACUGAACGAGGCAAAGGAUCAAAUCCACAUCCUCACAGAGACAAAAUGUCAAGUCCUUAACCCACUGAGCCACAAUGAGAACUCCUGAGUUUUUUAUGUUUAAAGCAAUUUUAUGAAUAUCACUUAUACCGUAGUAGCAAGAAUGAUAACAAGGUCUUUAUCCAUAGGUCACAGAACAGUUACUUUAAAAUCUCUCACUGUCCAUACCAGACAUAAGCAGAAGUUGAUGUUGGUGAAUGGGAUAAGCCUUGAACAAGCUACUUCUGAAUAUUUACAAGCGUCAUAACUGACAGAAAAUCUCAGCCAUUUUGGCAAUGGAAAAUAAGAGUCUUAUACUAUUUCUUGAACCUGCAUGUUCCCUGAAAUGUAAACAAUUCAAAUCCUCUAUGAGGCCUGUGGUAAGUGGAGAUCAAAUUACAAGGUGUUCAGGAGAGAAUGUUACCUGUUGAACUAGCCCACAAGUGCUUUGUAUGCACAAGUAGUUUCCUUCCCCUCCCCCUUGUUUUUGUCAGUUGUUUCAGAGUCAAAUUCAGGAGGUUAAAAAAGAAAGAAUAGUAACCACGGGUUGUGUGCAUGAACAAGACAGAAACUGGGCAAACCUAAAGGGCAAACAAGACAGAAACUUGUUACUUGGGAGAGGAGAACAACAAAACUCCAGGGUUUCCCUGAUACAAAUACAGAGACAGGCACAAAACAGACAAAUUGGAUGCACUUAUUUAGUUCUUUUCUUUUACUUCUAAGCGGGGGAGAAGGGCAGGAAAUUUCUAUCAUGUCAGUAACAUGUAAGAAGCUAAACAGUUCAAAUCCUAACCAAGUCCAGUCCUUUAUAUUAAAUUCCAUCUUUGUCUCUCCUGUAUUUCUUCUUCUCCUGUAUUCUCUUCUGUAUUUCUUCUUGUCUCUCUCUGUAUUUUAAGUUAAUAUGUUAACUUAAAAUUAUUUGUGUGUGCAUUUGAUUAAUAUCCAUUUCCUCACUAGAAUGUACACCUAUGAGGGUAGGUAUAAUGUCUAUUUUUGCUCACCAUUGUCCCCAGAGUUUAAGCACAGUGCUGGCACACAUGAUACCAAUCAAUAAAUAUUCAGUGAAUGAACAAAUUAAUGGAUGCAGCCUUACAGAGCGUAUUUUGAUUAAUUGUAAGAUUUCUAAACAAUUUACACAAGUUUCAGGACAGACCUUAUUAUAUACAAAGAAUAUCUUUCCAGAAAUGUUUAUGGCAAAACCAUUCUCAUACUGUUAGAGAACUCUACCAUUAAUUGUGUCAUCUCUGAAAAAUUAAAAGAGUAAUAAACAUCCCACAAAUCAGCCUUAAACUGGCCAAAGUCUAGGAUGCUUUUCCAUUCCUAAUUUAUGCAAUUUUAUCACUACAAUCUAUUUUUUUUGGAAAGCCAAGC
RNAcentral lists this long non-coding RNA (3757 nucleotides) under Sus scrofa (pig). RNAcentral's name for it is "lncRNA (ENSSSCG00040038703.1)". The record is from RNAcentral. Lineage: Eukaryota; Metazoa; Chordata; Mammalia; Artiodactyla; Suidae.